AACGAACGCUGGCGGCAUGCCUAACACAUGCAAGUCGAACGAGACCUUCGGGUCUAGUGGCGCACGGGUGCGUAACGCGUGGGAACCUGCCCUUAGGUUCGGAAUAACUCCCCGAAAGGGGUGCUAAUACCGGAUAAUGUCUUCGGACCAAAGAUUUAUCGCCUUUGGAUGGGCCCGCGUUGGAUUAGCUAGUUGGUAGGGUAAAAGCCUACCAAGGCGACGAUCCAUAGCUGGUCUGAGAGGAUGAUCAGCCACACUGGGACUGGGACACGGCCCAGACUCCUGCGGGAGGCAGCAGUGGGGAAUAUUGGACAAUGGGCGAAAGCCUGAUCCAGCAAUGCCGCGUGAGUGAUGAAGGCCUUAGGGUUGUAAAGCUCUUUUACCCGGGAUGAUAAUGACAGUACCGGGAGAAUAAGCUCCGGCUAACUCCGUG
Molecule: ribosomal RNA, 433 nt
Filed under: uncultured bacterium
Lineage: Bacteria
Description: partial 16S ribosomal RNA
Rfam family: Bacterial small subunit ribosomal RNA
Source: RNAcentral